Molecule: long non-coding RNA, 114 nt
Organism: Amblyraja radiata (thorny skate)
Lineage: Eukaryota; Metazoa; Chordata; Chondrichthyes; Rajiformes; Rajidae
Exons: 3
Source: RefSeq, a predicted model, not a curated record
CAGCUGAGUUACUCCAGCAUUUUGUAUCCAACUUCGGUGAAUGAAACGUCGGCGGUGGAGCAGCGCCACACAGAGGCGAUGCUCAGUAACUGCAACUGUCUGAAGAAGGGUCUC